AACUUUUGGCAAUGGAUCACUUGGCUCUCGCAUCGAUGAAGAACGCAGCGAAAUGCGAUAAGUAAUGUUAAUUGCAGAAUUCAGUGAAUCAUCGAAUCUUUGAACGCAUCUUGCGCUCCUUGGUAUUCCGAGGAGCAUGCCUGUUUGAGUGUCAUUAAAUUCUGUCAAAACAUGCACUUGAGUGUGUUUUGGAUUGUGGUAGUGUCUGCUGGCUUUUUUAUUAUUAUUUAAUACCUGCUCUCCUGAAAGACAUUAGGUUUGGGGGGAUGUGCCAAGUCACUUCUGCCUUUCUAUUGGUGUGAUAGAUGAAUAAACUUAUCUACGCCAGGAAAGCAGGUUGCAGGUGAAAGCACUGUGAUCUCUCUGCUCCCUAAUUGACAUUUGUCUGAUAACUUGACGUCAAAUCAGGUAGGACUACCCGCUGAACUUAAGCAUAUAAAUAAGCGGAGGCU
RNAcentral lists this unclassified non-coding RNA (452 nucleotides) under uncultured Amanita. Its description in RNAcentral is "sequence contains ITS2". The stretch from base 1 to 154 matches the Rfam family "5.8S ribosomal RNA". The record is from RNAcentral. Lineage: Eukaryota; Fungi; Basidiomycota; Agaricomycetes; Agaricales; Amanitaceae.